Molecule: ribosomal RNA, 870 nt
Filed under: Ligilactobacillus salivarius
Lineage: Bacteria; Bacillati; Bacillota; Bacilli; Lactobacillales; Lactobacillaceae
Description: bacterial SSU rRNA
Rfam family: Bacterial small subunit ribosomal RNA
Source: RNAcentral
UUGGCAGGCGCUGCCUAUACAUGCAGUCGAACGAAACUUUCUUACACCGAAUGCUUGCAUUCACCGUAAGAAGUUGAGUGGCGGACGGGUGAGUAACACGUGGGUAACCUGCCUAAAAGAAGGGGAUAACACUUGGAAACAGGUGCUAAUACCGUAUAUCUCUAAGGAUCGCAUGAUCCUUAGAUGAAAGAUGGUUCUGCUAUCGCUUUUAGAUGGACCCGCGGCGUAUUAACUAGUUGGUGGGGUAACGGCCUACCAAGGUGAUGAUACGUAGCCGAACUGAGAGGUUGAUCGGCCACAUUGGGACUGAGACACGGCCCAAACUCCUACGGGAGGCAGCAGUAGGGAAUCUUCCACAAUGGACGCAAGUCUGAUGGAGCAACGCCGCGUGAGUGAAGAAGGUCUUCGGAUCGUAAAACUCUGUUGUUAGAGAAGAACACGAGUGAGAGUAACUGUUCAUUCGAUGACGGUAUCUAACCAGCAAGUCACGGCUAACUACGUGCCAGCAGCCGCGGUAAUACGUAGGUGGCAAGCGUUGUCCGGAUUUAUUGGGCGUAAAGGGAACGCAGGCGGUCUUUUAAGUCUGAUGUGAAAGCCUUCGGCUUAACCGGAGUAGUGCAUUGGAAACUGGAAGACUUGAGUGCAGAAGAGGAGAGUGGAACUCCAUGUGUAGCGGUGAAAUGCGUAGAUAUAUGGAAGAACACCAGUGGCGAAAGCGGCUCUCUGGUCUGUAACUGACGCUGAGGUUCGAAAGCGUGGGUAGCAAACAGGAUUAGAUACCCUGGUAGUCCACGCCGUAAACGAUGAAUGCUAGGUGUUGGGAGGGUUUCCGCCCUUCAGUGCCGCAGCUAACGCAAUAAGCAUUCCGCC